RNAcentral lists this ribosomal RNA (253 nucleotides) under uncultured bacterium. RNAcentral's name for it is "partial 16S ribosomal RNA". It matches the Rfam family "Bacterial small subunit ribosomal RNA", at positions 524 to 776 of the family's 1533-position model. The record is from RNAcentral.
UACGUAGGGAGCAAGCGUUGUCCGGAAUUACUGGGCGUAAAGGGCGCGUAGGCGGCCUGUUAAGUCGAACGUGAAAUCCCCGGGCUCAACCCGGGAACUGCGUCCGAUACUGGCAGGCUUGAAUCCGGGAGAGGGAUGCGGAAUUCCAGGUGUAGCGGUGAAAUGCGUAGAUAUCUGGAGGAACACCGGUGGCGAAGGCGACAUCCUGGACCGGCAUUGACGCUGAGGCGCGAAAGCCAGGGGAGCAAACGGG